AUCAAGAUGGCAGAAUAAUGCAACAAGUUUAAACCCUGUCAAUGAGUCAUACUCUCUUGUUA
Molecule: transfer RNA, 62 nt
Filed under: Tonoscolex birmanicus
Lineage: Eukaryota; Metazoa; Annelida; Clitellata; Crassiclitellata; Megascolecidae
Description: tRNA-Leu
Source: RNAcentral